Molecule: ribosomal RNA, 1289 nt
Filed under: Escherichia coli
Lineage: Bacteria; Pseudomonadati; Pseudomonadota; Gammaproteobacteria; Enterobacterales; Enterobacteriaceae
Description: bacterial LSU rRNA
Rfam family: Bacterial large subunit ribosomal RNA
Source: RNAcentral
GGGUUGUGAGGUUAAGCGACUAAGCGUACACGGUGGAUGCCCUGGCAGUCAGAGGCGAUGAAGGACGUGCUAAUCUGCGAUAAGCGUCGGUAAGGUGAUAUGAACCGUUAUAACCGGCGAUUUCCGAAUGGGGAAACCCAGUGUGAUUCGUCACACUAUCAUUAACUGAAUCCAUAGGUUAAUGAGGCGAACCGGGGGAACUGAAACAUCUAAGUACCCCGAGGAAAAGAAAUCAACCGAGAUUCCCCCAGUAGCGGCGAGCGAACGGGGAGCAGCCCAGAGCCUGAAUCAGUGUGUGUGUUAGUGGAAGCGUCUGGAAAGGCGCGCGAUACAGGGUGACAGCCCCGUACACAAAAAUGCACAUAUUGUGAGCUCGAUGAGUAGGGCGGGACACGUGGUAUCCUGUCUGAAUAUGGGGGGACCAUCCUCCAAGGCUAAAUACUCCUGACUGACCGAUAGUGAACCAGUACCGUGAGGGAAAGGCGAAAAGAACCCCGGCGAGGGGAGUGAAAAAGAACCUGAAACCGUGUACGUACAAGCAGUGGGAGCACGCUUAGGCGUGUGACUGCGUACCUUUUGUAUAAUGGGUCAGCGACUUAUAUUCUGUAGCAAGGUUAACCGAAUAGGGGAGCCGAAGGGAAACCGAGUCUUAACUGGGCGUUAAGUUGCAGGGUAUAGACCCGAAACCCGGUGAUCUAGCCAUGGGCAGGUUGAAGGUUGGGUAACACUAACUGGAGGACCGAACCGACUAAUGUUGAAAAAUUAGCGGAUGACUUGUGGCUGGGGGUGAAAGGCCAAUCAAACCGGGAGAUAGCUGGUUCUCCCCGAAAGCUAUUUAGGUAGCGCCUCGUGAAUUCAUCUCCGGGGGUAGAGCACUGUUUCGGCAAGGGGGUCAUCCCGACUUACCAACCCGAUGCAAACUGCGAAUACCGGAGAAUGUUAUCACGGGAGACACACGGCGGGUGCUAACGUCCGUCGUGAAGAGGGAAACAACCCAGACCGCCAGCUAAGGUCCCAAAGUCAUGGUUAAGUGGGAAACGAUGUGGGAAGGCCCAGACAGCCAGGAUGUUGGCUUAGAAGCAGCCAUCAUUUAAAGAAAGCGUAAUAGCUCACUGGUCGAGUCGGCCUGCGCGGAAGAUGUAACGGGGCUAAACCAUGCACCGAAGCUGCGGCAGCGACGCUGAUGCGUUGUUGGGUAGGGGAGCGUUCUGUAAGCCUGUGAAGGUGUGCUGUGAGGCAUGCUGGAGGUAUCAGAAGUGCGAAUGCUGACAUAAGUAACGAUAAAGCGG